This 253-nucleotide ribosomal RNA is filed under the name uncultured bacterium. Its description in RNAcentral is "partial 16S ribosomal RNA". It matches the Rfam family "Bacterial small subunit ribosomal RNA", at positions 524 to 776 of the family's 1533-position model. The record is from RNAcentral.
UACGUAGGGGGCAAGCGUUGUCCGGAAUCAUUGGGCGUAAAGCGCGUGUAGGCGGUUCGGUAAGUCUGUUGUGAAAGUCCAGGGCUCAACCCUGGGAUGCCGGUGGAUACUGUCGGACUAGAGUACGGAAGAGGCGAGUGGAAUUCCCGGUGUAGCGGUGAAAUGCGCAGAUAUCAGGAAGAACACCAAUGGCGAAGGCAGCUCUCUGGGACGGUACUGACGCUGAGACGCGAAAGCGUGGGGAGCAAACAGG